Non-coding RNA from Paramuricea clavata, 98 nucleotides. Lineage: Eukaryota; Metazoa; Cnidaria; Anthozoa; Malacalcyonacea; Plexauridae. The record is from the annotation of a GenBank genome assembly.
CUGAUAUACUUUUAGCCACAGACCGGCUCGUGGCUAAAAAGUAUAAUGAAAUCUGACAUACUUUUUAGCCACAGACCGGGUCGUGGCUAAAAAGUAUA